CCUACGGGGGGCUGCAGUAGGGAAUUUUCGGCAAUGGAGGAAACUCUGACCGAGCAACGCCGCGUGAGUGAAGAAGGUCUUCGGAUUGUAAAGCUCUGUUGUAAAGGAAGAAUGCUAUGGAUAGAAUCCAUAGGUGACGGUACUUUACCAGAAAGCCACGGCUAACUACGUGCCAGCAGCCGCGGUAAUACGUAGGUGGCGAGCGUUAUCCGGAAUUAUUGGGCGUAAAGGGUGCGCAGGCGGCCAGAUAAGUUUGAGGUGAAAGACCGGAGCUC
RNAcentral lists this ribosomal RNA (275 nucleotides) under uncultured bacterium. RNAcentral describes it as "partial 16S ribosomal RNA". It matches the Rfam family "Bacterial small subunit ribosomal RNA", at positions 338 to 610 of the family's 1533-position model. The record is from RNAcentral.